AGGAGCCGUGUAAGGCGAGAGCCUUACGCACGGUUCUGUGAGGGCGUGAGGGGGAGGUUCCCUCGCGCUACUCGAC
RNAcentral lists this non-coding RNA (76 nucleotides) under Pontibacter lucknowensis. The record is from RNAcentral. Lineage: Bacteria; Pseudomonadati; Bacteroidota; Cytophagia; Cytophagales; Hymenobacteraceae.